CCACGGAAGUUUUCAGAGAUGAGAAUGUGCCUUCGGGAACCGUGAGACAGGUGCUGCAUGGCUGUCGUCAGCUCGUGUUGUGAAAUGUUGGGUUAAGUCCCGCAACGAGCGCAACCCUUAUCCUUUGUUGCCAGCGGUCCGGCCGGGAACUCAAAGGAGACUGCCAGUGAUAAACUGGAGGAAGGUGGGGAUGACGUCAAGUCAUCAUGGCCCUUACGACCAGGGCUACACACGUGCUACAAUGGCGCAUACAAAGAGAAGCGACCUCGCGAGAGCAAGCGGACCUCAUAAAGUGCGUCGUAGUCCGGAUUGGAGUCUGCAACUCGACUCCAUGAAGUCGGAAUCGCUAGUAAUCGUGGAUCAGAAUGCCACGGUGAAUACGUUCCCGGGCCUUGUACACACCGCCCGUCACACCAUGGGAGUGGGUUGCAAAAGAAGUAGGUAGCUUAACCUUCGGGAGGGCGCUUACCACUUUGUGAUUCAUGACUGGGGUGAAGUCGUAACAAGGUAACCGUAGGGGAACCUGCGGUUGGAUCACCUCCUUA
This 545-nucleotide ribosomal RNA is filed under the name Escherichia coli. Its description in RNAcentral is "bacterial SSU rRNA". It matches the Rfam family "Bacterial small subunit ribosomal RNA", at positions 988 to 1533 of the family's 1533-position model. Lineage: Bacteria; Pseudomonadati; Pseudomonadota; Gammaproteobacteria; Enterobacterales; Enterobacteriaceae. The record is from RNAcentral.